CCUACGGGAGGCAGCAGUAGGGAAUCUUUCACAAUGGGCGAAAGCCUGAUGCAGCCACGCCGCGUGCAGGAUGAAGGCCUUCGGAUUGUAAACUGCUUUUAUAAGCGAGAAAUAUGAUGGUAACUUAUGAAUAAGCAUCGGCUAACUACGUGCCAGCAGCCGCGGUCAUACGUAGGAUCCGAGCAUUAUCCGGGGUGACUGGGUGUAAAGAGUUGCGUAGCGGGCGUAAAAAGUAGCUAGGUAAAUCUCGUGGCUCAACCUUUCAGACUAUUAGCGAAACUGUUAAGCUUGAGACGGUGAGAGGUAAGUGGAAUUUUUGGUGUAGGGGUGAAAUCCGUAGAGAUUAGGAGGAAGACUGAUGGCGAAGGCGGGCUGCUGGAACAGUACUGACGCUAAGGCACGAAAGCGUAGGGAGCAAACGGGAUUAGAUACCCGGGUAGUC
Molecule: ribosomal RNA, 442 nt
Filed under: uncultured bacterium
Lineage: Bacteria
Description: partial 16S ribosomal RNA
Rfam family: Bacterial small subunit ribosomal RNA
Source: RNAcentral